CACGUAGGCACCAAGCGUUGUCCGGAUUUAUUGGGCGUAAAGAGCUCGUAGGCGGUUCGGUAAGUCGGGUGUGAAAACUCUGGGCUCAACCCAGAGCCGCCACCCGAUACUGCUGUGACUUGAGUGCGGUAGGGGAGCGGGGAAUUCCUGGUGUAGCGGUGAAAUGCGCAGAUAUCAGGAGGAACACCAGUGGCGAAGGCGCCGCUCUGGGCCGUGACUGACGCUGAGGUGCGAAAGCGUGGGGAGCAAACAGG
Molecule: ribosomal RNA, 254 nt
Filed under: uncultured bacterium
Lineage: Bacteria
Description: partial 16S ribosomal RNA
Rfam family: Bacterial small subunit ribosomal RNA
Source: RNAcentral